CCUACGGGAGGCAGCAGUGAGGAAUAUUGGUCAAUGGACGAGAGUCUGAACCAGCCAAGUAGCGUGAAGGAUGACUGCCCUAUGGGUUGUAAACUUCUUUUAUAUGGGAAUAAAACAGGGUAUGCAUACCCUCUUGUAUGUACCAUAUGAAUAAGGAUCGGCUAACUCCGUGCCAGCAGCCGCGGUAAUACGGAGGAUCCGAGCGUUAUCCGGAUUUAUUGGGUUUAAAGGGUGCGUAGGUGGAUUGUUAAGUCAGUUGUGAAAGUUUGAGGCUCAACCGUAAAAUUGCAGUUGAAACUGGCCGUCUUGAGAACAGUAGAGGUAGGCGGAAUGCGUGGUGUAGCGGUGAAAUGCUUAGAUAUCACGAAGAACUCCGAUUGCGAAGGCAGCUUACUGGACUGCUACUGACACUGAUGCUCGAAAGUGUGGGUAUCAAACAGGAUUAGAUACCCCUGUAGUC
Molecule: ribosomal RNA, 460 nt
Filed under: uncultured bacterium
Lineage: Bacteria
Description: partial 16S ribosomal RNA
Rfam family: Bacterial small subunit ribosomal RNA
Source: RNAcentral